RNAcentral lists this unclassified non-coding RNA (309 nucleotides) under uncultured Lycoperdon. RNAcentral describes it as "sequence contains ITS2". The stretch from base 1 to 52 matches the Rfam family "5.8S ribosomal RNA", at positions 103 to 154 of the family's 154-position model. The record is from RNAcentral. Lineage: Eukaryota; Fungi; Basidiomycota; Agaricomycetes; Agaricales; Lycoperdaceae.
AACGCACCUUGCGCUCCUUGGUAUUCCGAGGAGCAUGCCUGUUUGAGUGUCAUUAAAUUCUCAACCCCUCCAGCUUUUGCGAGUUGUGAUGGGGCUUGGAUAUGGGGGCUUGCGGGUCUUUACUGAUGGUAAAGGUCAGCUCUCCUGAAAUACAUUAGCGGAACCGUUUGCAGUCCCGUCACUAGUGUGAUAAUUAUCUACACUGUGAUGGAUUGCUCUCUGACUAGUUCAGCUGCUAAUCGUCCGUUAUGGACAAUGUUUAAUGAACUUCUUGACCUCAAAUCAGGUAGGACUACCCGCUGAACUUAA